This 618-nucleotide ribosomal RNA is filed under the name Triticum aestivum (bread wheat). RNAcentral describes it as "partial small subunit ribosomal RNA". Lineage: Eukaryota; Viridiplantae; Streptophyta; Magnoliopsida; Poales; Poaceae. The record is from RNAcentral.
AUGGCGGCGGCAGAGGGGGAGACGAGCCGGCUGUUCCGCGUCCGGCGGACGGUGAUGCAGAUGCUGCGGGACCGCGGGUACCUGGUGCUGGACGCCGACGUCGACCUGACCAUGGGCGAGUUCGUCGGGCGCUACGGCGACCCCGUGCGCCGCGAGGACCUCGUCAUCAACCGCGCCAAGAAGGACAACCCCGACGACCAGAUCUACGUCUUCUUCCCGAACGAGCCCAAGCCCGGCACGAAGGUGGUCACCAGCUACGCCGAGAAGAUGGCGCAGGAGAACGUCCCCAAUGGCAUACUCGUCGUGCAGCAGGCGCUGACCGCCUUUGCCCGCAACAAACUGGUCGAGACCUCUAAAUUCCGGCUGCAGGUCUUCCAGGAAGGGGAGCUUCUUAUAAACAUUAAGAAUCACGAUCUGGUUCCCGAGCACGUGCUCCUCACACAGGAGCAGAAGAAGACGCUGCUGGAGAAAUACACCGUGAAAGAAACUCAGCUGCCUCGCAUUCAACACUCGGAUCCAAUAGCAAGAUACUAUGGCAUGAGGCGUGGACAAGUCGUGAAGAUCACCAGGCCCAGUGAGACUGCUGGAAAAUAUGUGACAUAUCGAUAUGUUGUCUGA